Long non-coding RNA from Eriocheir sinensis (Chinese mitten crab), 1533 nucleotides. RefSeq lists it as uncharacterized. The transcript is spliced from 2 exons. NCBI's taxonomy places the organism in Eukaryota, Metazoa, Arthropoda, Malacostraca, Decapoda, Varunidae. The record is from RefSeq and is a predicted model, not a curated record.
GGGAGAGGGUGAAAGAGGAUGAAGGAAAGGGCAGGGAGAGAAAGGGAGGGAAGGGAAAAGGGAAAGGGUGAAAGAGGAUGAAGGAAAGGGCAGGGAGAGAAAGGUGAGGGAAGGGAAAAGGGAGAGGGUGAAAGAGGAUGAAGGAAAGGACAGGGAAAGAAAGGGAGGGAAAGGAGAGGACUGGGUGAGGGAAGGGAAAAGGGAGGGCAAGAAGGAAGGAGUAGUGAUUAAGGGACAAGCUACACCAAGCACUGUUAUGUAGUUUGAGGUCAGCAGUGGUUCAGCCUCUCUAAGUUCUGGCGUCAAGCAUUCCAUGACCCCUUCACUUCUGUUACCUUAGAAUCCAUAUCCCGUAUUCUUGAACGUCUCGGCGCCUCACCUCGCCUGUUUGAAAAGCCUCUCGUGGAAGUUCCCGGGAGUUUCAUGGACUGUCCUUUCCUUCAUUCUCUUUCCUCUUAUGCUUUCUCUUUCACUGUCUCUCUUUUCCCUUCCCUCACCCAGCCCUCUCCUUUCUCUCCCUGUCCUUUCCUUCAUCCUCUCUCCCUGUUCUCUCCCUUACUCUCUCCCCUUGACCUUCUCUCUCAAGCCAUCCUCUUACCUUCUCCCCCCUCUCUCCUUCACCCUCUCCCCCUCACAAGCUGUACAAGACUUCUGUAUCUUGAGCGGGAAAAUCACCCAUGGAAACCUGGUUAAUCUUCUCUGCGGCCUUAGGAAACAGUCGUGAUUGGAGGCUGAUAUGUUUAAGAAUAUGGAUCUAUAUCUUCUGUAUAUAAAGACUGGCAAGUUUAAGUCAUGUAAUCCGAUAUCAACAACGUCCUUUUGUAUAUAGCCAGACCAUAUAUAUAUAUUCUGAUCAGUCGUAAUUGGAGCUUGAUACGUUUAAGAAUAUGGAUCUAUAUCUUCUGUAUAUAAAGACUGGCAAGUUUAAGCUGUGUAAUCCUAUAAAUAUCAACAAUGUCCUUUUGUAUAUAGCCUGACCAUAUAUUAUAUACUGCAGAACUGAUGACAAUACACUAUGGUUGUUAUUCUCAGAUGCUUCCACCUCUCAUAUCUAGUAUUUCCAUAGGCCAAAAAAAGGGGCUCAGUAGGAUUUUCAUGAAUGUGUUUUAGGUUCAUGGUACAGAAGAAGGGUCAAACUUAUACCACCAGGGUUGUCAUGAGUGUGUUUUAGGUUCAUGGUACAGAAGAAGGGUCAGACUACCACCAGGGUCAUAAAACUACCCAGAGUAAGGCGUAUAACUCCUACGAAAGCCUUGUUGAAUGUGUGCGCUUGGGCUCUGAAAUGUUUAAAAAUAUUCCCCAUCAUCUGUACAUAGGAACAAGUCAUCCUUAUUGGUUUCUCAUCUCUUACCCAGCGUUGCCAGAUAGUCGUACUCAUCCUCUUACGUUUGCCGAUUUCUGCCUCACAAACUGUCUCAUCUACCCCAAUAACUUGCUUCAAUACACCGGGUAUUCGAUAUAUGUGAGUUUGAAAUAUGCGAAUUCGCUCAUAUGCGACUAACCCAAAUGUGCCAAGUAUUUGUUUUAUGCGAG